GUGCCUAAUACAUGCAAGUAGAACGCUGAAGAGAGGAGCUUGCUCUUCUUGGAUGAGUUGCGAACGGGUGAGUAACGCGUAGGUAACCUGCCUUGUAGCGGGGGAUAACUAUUGGAAACGAUAGCUAAUACCGCAUAACAAUGGAUGACACAUGUCAUUUAUUUGAAAGGGGCAAUUGCUCCACUACAAGAUGGACCUGCGUUGUAUUAGCUAGUAGGUGAGGUAAUGGCUCACCUAGGCGACGAUACAUAGCCGACCUGAGAGGGUGAUCGGCCACACUGGGACUGAGACACGGCCCAGACUCCUACGGGAGGCAGCAGUAGGGAAUCUUCGGCAAUGGGGGCAACCCUGACCGAGCAACGCCGCGUGAGUGAAGAAGGUUUUCGGAUCGUAAAGCUCUGUUGUAAGUCAAGAACGGGUGUGAGAGUGGAAAGUUCACACUGUGACGGUAGCUUACCAGAAAGGGACGGCUAACUACGUGCCAGCAGCCGCGGUAAUACGUAGGUCCCGAGCGUUGUCCGGAUUUAUUGGGCGUAAAGCGAGCGCAGGCGGUUUGAUAAGUCUGAAGUUAAAGGCUGUGGCUCAACCAUAGUUCGCUUUGGAAACUGUCAAACUUGAGUGCAGAAGGGGAGAGUGGAAUUCCAUGUGUAGCGGUGAAAUGCGUAGAUAUAUGGAGGAACACCGGUGGCGAAAGCGGCUCUCUGGUCUGUAACUGACGCUGAGGCUCGAAAGCGUGGGGAGCGAACAGGAUUAGAUACCCUGGUAGUCCACGCCGUAAACGAUGAGUGCUAGGUGUUGGAUCCUUUCCGGGAUUCAGUGCCGCAGCUAACGCAUUAAGCACUCCGCCUGGGGAGUACGACCGCAAGGUUGAAACUCAAAGGAAUUGACGGGGGCCCGCACAAGCGGUGGAGCAUGUGGUUUAAUUCGAAGCAACGCGAAGAACCUUACCAGGUCUUGACAUCCCGAUGCUAUUUCUAGAGAUAGAAAGUUACUUCGGUACAUCGGUGACAGGUGGUGCAUGGUUGUCGUCAGCUCGUGUCGUGAGAUGUUGGGUUAAGUCCCGCAACGAGCGCAACCCCUAUUGUUAGUUGCCAUCAUUCAGUUGGGCACUCUAGCGAGACUGCCGGUAAUAAACCGGAGGAAGGUGGGGAUGACGUCAAAUCAUCAUGCCCCUUAUGACCUGGGCUACACACGUGCUACAAUGGUUGGUACAACGAGUUGCGAGUCGGUGACGGCGAGCUAAUCUCUUAAAGCCAAUCUCAGUUCGGAUUGUAGGCUGCAACUCGCCUACAUGAAGUCGGAAUCGCUAGUAAUCGCGGAUCAGCACGCCGCGGUGAAUACGUUCCCGGGCCUUGUACACACCGCCCGUCACACCACGAGAGUUUGUAACACCCGAAGUCGGUGAGGUAACCUUUUGGAGCCAGCCGCCUAAGGUGGGACAGAUGAUUGGGGGA
RNAcentral lists this ribosomal RNA (1454 nucleotides) under Streptococcus thermophilus. Its description in RNAcentral is "bacterial SSU rRNA". It matches the Rfam family "Bacterial small subunit ribosomal RNA". Lineage: Bacteria; Bacillati; Bacillota; Bacilli; Lactobacillales; Streptococcaceae. The record is from RNAcentral.